This 300-nucleotide ribosomal RNA is filed under the name Triticum aestivum (bread wheat). Its description in RNAcentral is "partial small subunit ribosomal RNA". The record is from RNAcentral. Lineage: Eukaryota; Viridiplantae; Streptophyta; Magnoliopsida; Poales; Poaceae.
AUGCGGCCCUGCUUCGUUGAGGUCGGCGCGUGCAACCUGCUCGGCGCGAACGGCGUGACGACGGCCGUCGCGGUGAUCGGCGCGGCCAUCCGCGCGCUGGACGGCGACGACGUGCUUGCGGGCGCCGAGGGGUGGUUCCAGAAGAUAUUGUCGCUGGUGCCACGGUGGCCCAUGUCCGUGGGCGGCUCGCCGCGGUACGCCACCGACGGGCGGCUCGGGAUCGAGGUCAGCGUGGCGCUGCCGGAGGCCGACAUGGCGUGGUUCGCCUCAUGCUUCUCCGAUGGCCUGCACCAGCUAUGA